UAAGUGCUGUACAGAGUGGCUCACGUCCCAGCAGCUUCCUUUGGAUUAAGGCUUCUCCCCUGGUCUUUCCGUCCUGGGGACACGGAAGGGUUACAGGGGCUGGAGGAGGGGAAGAGGAAGUGAGGUCGGAGGGGAGGGAGGGAGAGAGGGAGGGGCCCCGCGCGGAGACCGGGCUGCGGCGCCCGCGCCUGGAAGGUGGACGCUGGACGCUGGAAGCUGGAAGCAGCCACCGGCAGGUGCGCCGGAGGAGGCCGCUAGGCGGUUCUUGGGGACACAGAAGGACGAAAGGGCAGAACAUAAUGUGGAGUUAGGUGGAGAUUAGGACAAGAUGGUGGGACCUGGAACAACGGUUCUCAGAUGUGGUCCGCGGAUCCUGGAGGGGGAGGGGCGCGAGUAUCCGCGAGCUCAAAACUAUUUUCGUAAUGAUCCUAAGGCCGAACCAUGAGCCUUUCUCACCGUAUUGACAUUUGCACGAGUGGUGCAAAAGCAACAGUGCGGGAAACAGCUGGCGGCUUAGCGUGAAUGAGGACAGAGGCACCAACUAGACCGGUAGUGAUUUUAUUGCUCAUUGCCAUGCCCUCUCCGUCUUUUUUAAAAAAAAUGUCUAUUAAUAAGGUAUCCUUGGGUAUACAUCUUUCUAAUGUUCUAUAUAAUAAAAAUGGGAAGUGGGAAUGAAGCCUUGUGCGGCAGACCUGAGUAAGAUGGUGUCUCCCGGGAAAGCCCUGAAGCUUGCUGGAGCCGUGAGCUGAAGCAGCUGCUUUUUCCUUGUAGCUGGAAAGAUUAACUGAUAGAGAAACCAUAGUGAUUCGGACCUGCAUGUUGGCAGAUAUUUUCUCAAAAAGAAAUGAAAGGAGCUGGUCACUUCAAGAAAAUAAUUGACAUUAUUUUUUGUCAAUGAUACAAUUGGAGCUUUCAAGGGAAAAUUAGAAUUUUGGAAAACUUGUCUAUACCACCCUGAGCUGGAGAGCUUCCCAAUUCUUAAAGAUGUUUCUAAUGAGAUUAGUGGUUUUAUCAAAUGUGAUUUUUUUUCAUAUUGUAUAAUAAAAUGUGUCAACUUUUGGAAGAUCUCCAUACCUCAGUGAUGCGAUAUUUUCCAAAUGAACAAUGCAUGAGUGCAUGAGUAAAAGAUCUAUUCAAGAAUGGAUUUGAAAAAGGAAAAAUAAAAUCUUUUAAAAAAGGGGGCCAGCCCCGUGGCCAAGUGGUUAAGUUCACACACUCCACUUCAGAGGCCCAGGGUUUCGACGGUUUGGAUCCUGGGCUUGGACAUGGCACCACUCAUCAGGCCAUGCUGAGGCGGCAUCCCACAUGCCACAACUAGAAGGACCCACGACUAAAACUAUAUAACUAUGUACCAGGGGACUUUGGGGAGAAAAAGGAAAAAUAAAAUCUUUAAAAGAGAAUGUAUUUAGGGGCCUGCCUGGUGGCGCAGCAGUUUAGCAAGCACAUUCCGCUUCUAUAGCCCGGGGCUCGCUGGUUCGGAUCCCGGGUGCAGACAUGGCACCGCUUGGCACGCCGUGCUGUGGUAGGCAUCCCACAUAUAAAGUAGAGGAAGAUGGGCAUGGAUGUUAGCUCAGAGCCAGCCUUCCUCAGCAAAAAGAGGAGGAUUGGCAGCAGUUAGCUCAGGGCUAAUCUUCCUCAAAAGAAAAAAAAAGAAUGUAUUUGAAUGUGACAAGAGUAGGAAAGGUGCAUAGAUGUUUCAGAUUCCACGUUGCAAUUAACCUUUGAGAAACUAUCACUUGUACAUUUUGUUAUAGUAAAAGAAUGCCCUGGAUGGGGCCUCACCUUGUCCUGUGAGCAGCCCAUGCAAGUCAGGGUACCCCUGGUGCUUAGGGUGCCCACCACGCCCACAUACAUCCCCUCAGGCCUGGACCAUGGUGCAGCGCUGGUACAUGAACCAGUCCCAGGACGACUUGACGUGGCCCCACAGCCUGGAGCCACUGCUGCCCGCUGUGCCUGGAGCAGCUGUGCCAGCUCAGAGUCCUUUACUGGAAGCUGACAAAUAUGAGAAUGAUCCAGAAUUAGAACAGAUCUGAAAAGAGGAACUACUCCUAGAUGGACAUAAGAGCCAUAUGCAAAGAUAAACUGCCAAAUUGUGAAAAAAAGAUGGAGGUGUUUUAUGAGGAAGGAGCAUCUGCACUCGGAUGUAAGAUUUGCUGCAUCCUGGAGGGCAGCGGACACUUUGAUGUAAGAGGACUAGUGGAUCCAGAUUUUCAUGGAGAAAGGAGACAUGAUAACUCUUCUUGCAGGAAUUUAUCACUGCUUCACCGUGGAUGAGAAGAACUACAUGACGCCAUGUGGCUGUUUGUGGGAGGAGCAGUGUGGACCUCGUACAACUGGCCAGCUGACCAUUUCUAGGCUCAAGCACGUGAAAUUUUUGGCAUAGACAACAUAUUGAUGCUUCCUGGGAGCUAACACACCCUUUGUAAAGAUCCCAAACGUGAUAACUGAGCAGAAAAUCAAUCACUUUCUCUUUGCUUUUAUAUCGUAGGCUUAAAGCUAGAUUAUCUUUCUUUUGCAAGAUUAUUUGAUCAGACUUUUUUUUUUCUUUUUUGAGGAAGAUUAGCCCUGAGCUAACUACUGCCAAUCCCCCUCUUUUUGCUGAGGAGGACUGACCCUGAGCUAACAUCCAUGCCCAUCUUCCUCUACUUUAUAUGUGGGACACCUACCACAGCAUGACUCAAAUGAAAGUUUUAUCUCCUGAAAUGUAACUGCUUAGAUGCUCUAUCUGGACAUGAUUCUUAGACUUUGAACCAGCUUAUCAGUCAAUGCCAUGCCUGCCUUAUAAGAAGCUUGUGGUAUAAGAAAUAUAUUGGGUCUUUGUCCCUGGUUCCUGGCACAGAGCUACUAAAACCCUCGGAAUUUCCUAAGUGACAGGAGUGGCCUUUGUUAUUCAUAAGCAGCCCCUUUGAGCAUCCCUGUUCCACUGAGACUGAAGCUCCUGUGCUCAGGACCCUUCUGGACCUCGCUCUGUGUCCUUCCUCAUCUGGCUGUUCGUCUGUGUCCUUUAUAAUAAAUGAGUAAAUGUAAAUCCAGGUUUCCCUGAGUUUUGUGACCUGUUCUAGCGAACUAUGGGCCCCGAUGAGGGGGUCAUGGGAACCCCCAAUUUAUAGCCAGUCAGUCAGAAGUACAAUUGUCCUGGAUUUGCAAUUGGCAUCAGUCUUAUGGGGCUGAGCCCUUAAUUUGUAGGAUCUGAGGCUAACUCCAGGUAGAUGGUGUCAGAAUUGAGUUAAAUUGUAGGACAUUCAUUCCUCCUGAGAAUUGGAGAAUUACUUGGUGUGGGAAAACUAACUAGAAAGGUGUAAUGGUAGAUGAUAUUACUAACCAGAUAGAAGACACUUUUUUCUCCCAAAAUUAUGCCUCGGAGUGAGGAGUAGUAAGGGGGAAGAGCUCUCCUAUUAGGGCACACUCUCAGUGGCAUAUGCCACAUGCCACUUGCAACUUGCCUGUUCAAAAUAAAGAAACUGCCUUAAUUUAAAUUUGUAAAAAGGCCACCUGUGUCUGGCCCCCCUCCUGCUGCACUGAAACCUCAAAUUCCACAGACUUUGCAUGAGGGCUCUAAUUCUGUAUGCUGCGUGUGCUUGUUUUCUCAUCUCUUAUUCUUUUUAAAUUCAUGCUUAACUACUCUGGGAGAGAAGAGCUGUAAACAGUUUUAAUUAAACCAUACUUAUAGAAACCGACUUUCUUAUACUCUAUGCGUUUGGCAUUGCUGUUCUUGAAAAAUUAAAAGGUCUUUGAUAAAUGGGGGGGGGGAGAAUAUCCUCAGUAUCUGAAACAGCUGUAAAAAUACUCCUUUCUUUUCCUUUCCCAACUACAUGUCUCUGUGAGGCUGGAUUUUCUUCAUAUACUUCAACCAAAACAAACUUCAGCAGCAAACUGAAUGCAGAAGCGAGCGCGAGAAUCCAGCUACUGCCAGUAAGUCAGACACAAAGAGAUAUGCAAAAACAUAAACAAAGCAACGCUUCUCGGGGCCGGCCCCGUGGCUGAGUGGUUAAGGUCACGCACUCCGCUUUGGCAGCCCAGGGUUUUGCUGGUUCGAAUCCAGGGCGUGGACAUGGCACCACUCAUCAGGCCAUGCUGAGGCAGCGUCCCACAUGCCACAACUAGAAGGACCCACAACUAAAAUAUACAACUAUGUACUGGGGGGCCUUGGGGAGAAAAAGGAAAAGUAAAAUCUUUUUUAAAAAGUCUCUGUCUUUUAAUAGAUACAUUUAAACUAUUCACAUUUAUAAGGAUUACUGAAAAUUUUUACUUAUUUCUAUCACUUUAUUUUGUGUUUUCUAUUUGCCAUAUUUUUCUUUUACUUUUUUCCCUAAGUUUUAUUAACAUAUACUUGACAUACAGCGCCGUAUAGAUUUAAGGUGCACGGCAUAGUGAUUUGAGUAACUCUUGCUACUUUUCACAUCCUUUUUAAUUUUCUAUUGCUCAAUCAAGAUUUCUUUAAUGUCCUCCAGUCCCCUUACUGGUUUAGAAACUGUAUAUUUUAUUUCUACUGGUUUAGAAAUUAAAUUCUUGACUUUACAAAGUUUAAAACUCACUAUUUUCUCUUUUUUUUGGGGGGGGGAAGAGCAGCCCUGAGCUAACGUCUGUGCCCAUCUUCCUCUAUUUUAUAUGUGGGAUGGCUUGAUGAACACUGUGUAGGUCUGAGCCCAGGAUCCAAACUGGUGAACCCUGGCCCACCGAAGCAGAGUGAUGAACUUAACCACUAACCCACCAGGCCAGCCUCUCAUUACUUUCUUUAUCCUUCUUAAAAAUAUGAGAAACUUAGAUGAUUUCUCUCCAAUUUCUCCUCUCCUAUCUUCCAUGUUAUUAUUCCAUAGUAUUUUAGUUCCACCGGGUCUUCUGACCCCCCUCUUUUGUUUCAAACAGAUUGAUCAACAUGUUUGCUAGUUUCUUGGUUCAGCAUUGUGACUUGCAUUCCACUCCUACUUCCUGGGUUCAGUUUCCUAGUAACUGAGGAGCAUGAUUGAACAGGUCUUCCAAUAAAGGUCUGUGCAUAAUUGACUUUUCUCUGUCUCAAAUUUUAAUUUUACACUCACUUUUUUUUUUUUACUUUUUAAUGAAGUAUAAUAUAUAUAUAUAUAUAUAUACACACAUAUACAGAAAAGUACACAAAUUAUUAAUGUACAGUUUACGAAUGUUCACCCAAUCACUAAAGCAUAACAUCACCAGCACCCCCAAACCCCCCUCAAGCUGCCUCCUAGGCACUAACUUCCCCAAAAGCAACCACUAUCCUAACUUCAACUAAAAUGGACUGGCUUUGCCUGUUUUUGUUUUAUGUAAAUGGAAGCAAUCAUACAGUAUGGACUCUGUUGUGUCUGUCUUCUUCUCAAUGUUACAUUUGUGAAACUCAUCCAUGUUUUUGCAUGUAGCUGUAAUUUAGUAAUUCUGUUGCCAUAUAAAAUUCCAUUUUAUGAAUCUGCUGGAAUAUGUGUAUCCAUUCUACUAUUGAUGGGCAUUUGGGUUGUUUCUAGUUUGGGGCUAUUACUAAUGAUGCUUCUGUAAAGGUCCUGGCACUUGUCUUUUGCUGCACAUUUGUAUGAAAUUCUGUUGCAUGAUACUUAAGAGUGGAUUACUGGGUCACAGGGUACACACAGGAGCGUUCAGCUUUAACAGACACUGCCAAAGAAUUUUCCAAGUGAUUGUCUAAUUUAUAUUCUACCAGCAAUGGAUCAGAGGUUCAGUUUCUCUACAUCUUCACUCAUACUUGGCAUUGUCGUUCUUUUCAGCUUUAGUCAUUCUCAUGGGUAUAUAGUGGUAUCUCACGGUGGUUUUAAAUGGCAUUUCCCUGGAGACUAAUGAAAUGGAGCUCCUUUUCAGAUGCUUAUUUCCAUUUGAAUGUUCUCUUUUGUGAAGUGCCUAUUUCAAGUCCUCUGCCUGUUUUCCAUUGGAUUGUCUGUCUGUUUGUGAUUUGCAGGAGUUCUAUAUACAUUCUGAUAUGAGUCCCCUUUUUGGAUGUAUGUAUUGCAAAUGUCUUCUACUCAAUGGCUUGCCUUCUCACUCUUAUAAUAUAUAUAUUUUUUUUUAAGAUUUUUUUAUUUUUCCUUUUUCUCCCAAAGCCCCCCAGUACAUAAUUGUGUAUUUUUAGUUGUGGGUCCUUCUAGUUGUGGCAUGUGGGAUGCCGCCUCAGCAUGGCCUGAUGAGUGGUGCCAUGUCCACGCCCAGGAUCCAAACCAGCGAAACCCUGGGCUGCCAAAGCAGAGUGUGAGAACGUAACCACUCGGCCACGGGGCCAGUCCCUAAAUAUUCUUCUACAAGAUUUUUUUUUUAAUAGCUGCCAAAUAGGCAUCACGUGCCUCUCCCUAGAGCAGGGGCUCUGCAAUCAGACAAGCCUGGUUAAUCUCCUGCCUUCAUCCUCUACAGGCUGUGUAACUUUUAACAAGUUAUUUAAACACUCUGGGCUUUAGCCUUCCUGGGAGGUGCCCAGGUCUAGACCUGGGUGGAUACAUAAUUGGAUCUCAAUCCCUAAUAAAUAGCUGAUUGGUUUAGAAGCUUUGCAUCAACUGAAACAGUGGAUCAUUAACUCAAGAACAGUUAUUUAUUCAUUAAAGUCCCCUAAAGACCUGGGAUAGGCCAUAUUUCAUGAGUCCACAGUUUUAUUGCAUGUGACUAAGAACAAAAACACUGCAUUAAAAUGAAUGCCCUGUGGUAGUUGAAAGGCAAAGUCAGCAUUGGCAGCAUGAAGGAGUGGCCACUGAACCGCUUAACCAUAUUCCCUUGUCAGAUUGUCAGAUUCUUCCCUUUCUCUAGAGGCUGUGGUUAAGAGAGGGUUCCAACCUUGUCUUAGCUGGUUGCCUUAGGAGAGAAUUGGUUGAUUUCUGUGUUUCACUUUAUCAUCUGUAAAAUGGGUAGAGUAAAAGUUCAAUACCAACCUCAAGGCGAUGUUGUGAGGGUUAAUGAGUAUUACGUGAGGGAGGGUGUGACAAGUGUUAGGUGAUCAGUGGUGGCCACCAUUGUUGUCACCCUCGGUGGGGUACAGACCAGUAAGAUGUGGACAUGUGAAGCUGCUCACUUCAUUACUGAAGUGGGGAAACCCAAAAGGCUGGAAGGGGACGUGAGUCCUGUUUAUCUGGGACCGGGGCGGCCCAGUGGCACAGCAGUUAAGUGUGCACAUUCUGCUUCAGCGGCCCAGGGUUCACCGGUUCAGAUCCUGGGUGUGGACAUGGCACCGCUUGGCAAGCCAUGCUGUGGUAGGCGUCCCAUGUAUAAAGUAGAGGAAGAUGGGCACGGAUGUUAGCUCAGGGCCAGUCUUCCUCAGCAAAGAAGAAGAAAAUUGGCAGCAGAUGUUAGCUCUAAUCUUCCUCAAAAAAAAAAAAAAAAAAUCUAGGACAGAUGAGGAACACUGAAACUCAUGAGAAGUAGUGAAAGACAAAAUUCCUCACAUCAGUUUGUCCACUGAGGUGCUGGCAAAUGUUUUUAACAACCAGCUCUAUGUAGGGUGUGUGUGUGUGUGUGUGUGUGUAUGCUGACUUCCUGAUAUAAACGCUUCCGCAAUGGCUGAUUUCAAACUACCAACAUAACAUCACUGAACACAGAGUCGUACAGAUUCCCAUUAUAUAUAUAGUAUUUCCACCAUAUAGAUACAAUAGAUAUAAGUAUACUCAAGAGAAUAGAUACUAGUCAAAUAAAUAAGAAGUGGUAAGUUUUGAGUCUUUUAAUAUAAUUUACUUAAUUGUAAGUUUAUAUAACAGUUUUUAAUAAUGGCUGUGUUUAACAACUGGCUUGUAAAAUUCCUGAAAAAUUAACAUUUGGCUCUCAUAAGUCUAUACGAGCUGUCUCUAGCCACCACUGAAUUAGUCCACUGGUCCUCAUUUGGAGCCUUAAUCGUGGACAAAGAGUAGUAUUCAUGUUUAGUUCAGGACCUGGCACCCCGGCAAGUGCUAAGUAAGGGCAGAGUCAAUGUACUUCUAAAGACCAGUGCUCAUUCCCUUGGUAACUGGGUCUCCUCCCCCAGGACACAGCCCAAAAGGUGACCUUUUCCUUCCCUGGCUCUUGGCUGUUUAUCAUUCUGAUCUGCCAGCACCUCCCCCUGUUCAGGAUAGACUAUCACAGGACUGCCUGGGACGUGCACGGAGGGCAUCCUGGCCAGCCGCUUGCCGGAACUCAUGUCAGAUGCCUGCAAGGUCAUCCAGAUGGCCGGAAGGUGAACAGCAGCCCUGGGAAGGAGCUGCCUGCUCCUUGCCUCUCAGCCCCAUGACAUCUGUAUUUUGGAGUUUGGAGUGCCUUUGGCACACAGACCCCACCAGUCCACUGCCCUCAUGAGUUUCAAAACCUGGAUCCACGCUACCACUUCUCAGUUUAACCUCACGUCUCUCCAUUGCUUCUCUGCGCCUGCCAAUAGCAGAGAGAGUCCUAACAGACUACAUGCACUGGGCGCUCGCUCUAGAAUUAUCCCCCUUAAGCCUCAUAACAACCCUAUGAAGUAGGUACUAUCCUUAUCCCGGGUCUGUGGAUGAGAAAGCCAGGGCUCAGGGUGGUGUGCAUGAUUACCCACGGUCGUAGGGGGAGGACCCAGUAUUUUUCCUCUCUCCCUCAACUGUCUUCCUUCACGUGGUAAUCUCAGUUCCUGCAUGAUUAUUUUGCGUUCUUUAGCUUGUUGCGUACUGCUGAAUGUUCUCAGCACCAACGCGGUUGUGGAAGCCACGGGUCUGAAAAGAUUGCUCCAGGAGACAGUGUGCUGUGAGGAUGGAGGGGGGGAGAGGAGGAAUCGCUGAUGAGAUCCUGGGGGACACUGACGCCUAAGGGGCCCUGAGGAAGAGGAGACCCAGAAGGGCUGGCACAGAAAGUGCCAGAUGUCCAGGGGAUGGUCUGCAGGGGGGAAGCUACAAAGUGGACGAGUAAGUGAGCACCUAAAGGUGUCCCCUGGACUUAGCACUCCAGAAGCCAUCGGUGACCUUGGCAGGGGCCUUCUUUUAUUUCUUUACCAAGUGGGGAGGAGACUGGAGCAGGCAAAGCAGGAACCUAAUAGCAGUGGGUUGAAGAAAGGCUGGGAGGGAGCAAGGUGGGCUCAGCCAGUGUAGACUUCUCUUCCAGGAAUGAGGAAGCAGCAGGGGGAUGCUAGAUGGAAGGAUGGCUUUGGGGAUUUGGGUUUAGGUUGUUGUUGUUAUUGUUUUUUUAAACUGGGAAUAUCCUUAGCAAAUUUAUAUGCUGAGGAAAAGGAGCCGGCAGAGGUAAGGCUGAAGAUGUCAGUGAAAGAGGAGGGUGAAGGCAAGAGGUGGCCGAGGCCACACCCUGAGGGGUCCAAGCCGCAGACUGGAGAACAUCCCUUCCUCUCCUGGGGAGGAGGGAGCUGUGACAGGUGCUGUCCGGUGGCCUCUAUUUCCUCUGACAAAUGGGAGACAGAGAGUGAUGGGGACCAACAGAGAAGAGUGGUGGAAUUUGUAACAACCUGUUUGGGAGAACAGGAGGAGGUUGCCAAGAGACACAGCUGAAGGGCAGUGGGCGGUCUCCACAGGUGUCGCGUUGUCCCAGCAGCGAUAAACCUAGGCUUCUUUGUGAAUGCUGGUUACGUCUGUAGCUCUUAAGCUCCUUAAGCUCAUUCACCAUCUCCUUUCUUAUUGGUUUCACCAGCAGGAGGUGAUGCUUUCUCCAGGUUCUAAGGACAGCGCAUCAUGGCCACCCAAUAAAAGGUGCACGAGGUGUCUCUGGAUUUCUUUCCACCAUAUAGGUUACAAGAUGCAGUCAGCUGUCUGCAACCUGGAAGAAGGUUCUCACCAGGGCCAGCCCUGGUGGCCUAGUGGUUAAGUUCAGCGUGUUCUGCUUUGGCAGCCGGGGUUUGGUUCCCCACUGAAGACCUACACCACUUGUCGGUCAGCGGCCAUGCUGUGGCGGCGACUCACAUCGAAAAAGAGGAAGAUUGGCAACAGAUGUUAGCUGAGGGCAAAUCUUCCUCAGGAAAAAAAAAAAAAAAGAGGGCUCUCACUAAUCAGUCAGUGCCUUGAUCUUGGAAUUCCCAGCCUCCAGAGCCAUGAGAAAUAAAUGUUUGUUGUUUAAGCUGUU
Molecule: long non-coding RNA, 9996 nt
Organism: Equus asinus (donkey)
Lineage: Eukaryota; Metazoa; Chordata; Mammalia; Perissodactyla; Equidae
Source: Ensembl